AAAAAUAUGACAAUCUUGUUUUAUUGAAUAAAUGCAUCAUGAACUCAAAUAGGAUGAUGGAUAAAGAGUUUCUAAAUCUUUGUUGUGUCCAUUUCUCUAGAGGAUAUAUAUUUUAUAGUGGCUAGUCUCCUGAUUUAAGCAAUAUAUCAAGUUUUAUUAAAUUAGUUGUUAAAAAAUUAGAGCGAUGUCUAUAUAGCAUGAAAGAACGUUUAUCAUACAUUAUUACAAAUUUGGAACGUGGUUAUAAAAUAUUAAGCAACACUAAAGGGUG
This 271-nucleotide long non-coding RNA is filed under the name Brassica napus (rape). Its description in RNAcentral is "long non-coding RNA (BNAP_LNC014788)". The record is from RNAcentral. Lineage: Eukaryota; Viridiplantae; Streptophyta; Magnoliopsida; Brassicales; Brassicaceae.